This is a long non-coding RNA of Canis lupus familiaris (dog), 1173 nucleotides long. RefSeq lists it as uncharacterized. The transcript has 4 exons. Lineage: Eukaryota; Metazoa; Chordata; Mammalia; Carnivora; Canidae. The record is from RefSeq and is a predicted model, not a curated record.
AGGCAGGGCCAAGAUCACCUGCUUCUUUCAGGGGAAGUGUGAUCUACUUAGUGAAGCACGCAUGUCAGGAUUCCAAAGAAUGUUCAUAGGUGAGGAUAUAAAGCCUCGAGUUACAGCAAUGACCAUGAGCAACGUUUGCUGACACGUGGAGGGCAGCAGAGCAGGAAGAGGACUAGAACAUGGUUUCUGAUGGUGUUGCUGAGCUGAACUUGACGACUCUAGGAACUCAUUAGGAGAAAGGUCCCCUGAAGAAGUAACAUUUAUUCUGUGACCUGACACACCUGGCCAGGAGAGUACCAGGUGAAGAAAGGUGAGGUGGCAAACUCUUCACAGAGGGGAAAUCAAAGAAGCAACUGCUGUAACUUAAGCGUAAAUCAUCACAGGAACAGAUUUACUUAUUGAAGACAGAGAGAGAACAGGGGGAGGGGCAGAAGGAGAGAGAGAGAGAGAAUCCCAAGCAUGCUGCCUGCUGAGACUGAAGAGCCCAAUUCGAGGCUACAUCUCAUGAUCCUGAGACCAUGACCUGAGAGGAAAUCAAGAAUCAUAGGUUUAACUGACUGAGCCACCAGGCACUCUAGCAGUGAUGUUUUCUUUACUAAAGAUUAUAAUCAAGGCAUAAAGCUGAGUUACAUGUAAAAACUUCAGUAUAAAUGGUAGUCAACUAAAACAUGGCUCAUUACUUAAAAUACACAAGUUACGUCACAUGAACAAAGUUUUUCAGAUGAACCAAAAAAAGAAAAAAAGAGUGUGGGUUAUUUUUUUUUAACACCUUUAGUAUUUGAAAAAAAUAUUUUCCAUUCUUUUCUCUGGAAAGAAAGUCAGGAAUAUGCUAUUAAGGUUCUUAAAAGUACUGUCAGUGAAUUUGUUACUUAUCAAUAAAAGGCAAAAGAUAUGAUUCUUGGACAACUGUCUGAAAGACAAUUAAAAAGUGUACUGAAAUUCAGAGAUAGGCGAGUUUACUAAUCUUAGCCAUUACUUAAUAAUACAACAUAGGAGAAACCAAUAAUGGAACGUACCUGGUGAACCUGAAUUUCCACUUUAAGAGCCUCCUGUAGAGUCUGCAACUCCAUCCUCCACCUUCUCCACUUUCUGUCUGCUAAUUCUACAGUUUCUUCAGCCUCCGUUUAAAAUAACAAACUCCUCUUCUCACUGCAGCUGUGGAGAUCAUAAAAU